Manis pentadactyla (Chinese pangolin) is the source of this 333-nucleotide long non-coding RNA. RefSeq lists it as uncharacterized. The transcript is spliced from 4 exons. The record is from RefSeq and is a predicted model, not a curated record. Lineage: Eukaryota; Metazoa; Chordata; Mammalia; Pholidota; Manidae.
GGGGUCCGCGGCGUCCGCAGGCCCCAGGACAACGACGCCGGCCCAGAAGCGGCGCUCAGCGAGCAGCUCCAGCGCGCGCGCCACCAGGGCCGCCUCGGAGGGCGCUGCCUCCAGCUUGUCCAGGAUUCCUGGAAGCUUUGCUAGGAGCCAGGCAAACAAAUGAGCGGCCAGUUCUGCAGCCCCCACCCUCACCUCUGCAGGGAGUGAAGAGGGCCAGGCGAUGGCAGUAUGGGGAGGGACCCCAACAUUCCAAGAUUAGAGCCCUGGGUCCUAAUGGCCACCCCGAUUUUAAGGAAAACCUCCAGACCUGCUUCCCACGUCAGAAAAUUGGGU